Molecule: ribosomal RNA, 119 nt
Filed under: Leersia perrieri
Lineage: Eukaryota; Viridiplantae; Streptophyta; Magnoliopsida; Poales; Poaceae
Source: RNAcentral
UUUUCAGACCAUCCAGCAGCACUAAAGCACCGGAUCCCAUCAGAACUCUGAAGUUAAACGUGUUUGGGCGAGAGUGGUAUUAGAUGGGUGACCUCCUGAGAGUUCCUCGUGUUGAAUAU